This 202-nucleotide long non-coding RNA is filed under the name Cicer arietinum (chickpea). Its description in RNAcentral is "long non-coding RNA (CARI_LNC003081)". The record is from RNAcentral. Lineage: Eukaryota; Viridiplantae; Streptophyta; Magnoliopsida; Fabales; Fabaceae.
UUUCUUCUCCCUUCAGAUACUUUUUCUCUCAUUUCCUCUUCCUUUGUCAAACCUAUCCACCACCACCAUCAAUUUUCACCUUCAUCUCCACCACCGCCAUCACUUUACAUAUCAUUCACAUAUGUCUUCAUACCAUUCCCAUCUUAUUCAUCAUCCUUGACCAAACCCUUAAUUUCUUCCCAAAAUUCUUCUAUGUUUUUUG